Leptopilina heterotoma is the source of this 680-nucleotide long non-coding RNA. RefSeq lists it as uncharacterized. The transcript is spliced from 2 exons. The record is from RefSeq and is a predicted model, not a curated record. Lineage: Eukaryota; Metazoa; Arthropoda; Insecta; Hymenoptera; Figitidae.
UUUAUUACUUGUACAAUAGAAAAAAAGUGAAGUCAACUCUACAUCUUUACAUUGUUGAGAUUUAUAUUUCAAUUUUUUUUCAAAAAAAAGCAACGUCAGUAAUUACUCGAAAAGAUGCAAUUAUUUCACAUUUUCCCAACUGAAUAUUUUUUAUCAGAUAUUCAAACAUUACAGCUCAGUUGAUAAUCUUUUUUUAUCAACAGUCAGAAACACAGAUUAAAUUCAGCCCACAGUCAGAAUUAUUAUUAUUAAUAAAAUAAAAAUAAAAAAAUGUAAAAAAAAUUUUUUUUUUUUAUAACAGUUUGUUAGUGACAGCAGAUGGAAUUGGAAGUGCUGGCCUCCUUACCUUAUUAUACAAAUUUAGGAAUAUCCCUAAAAAGAAAUCCAAAUUCUCCACAAGUUAACAAGUUAACAAAAAAAAAUUUUUUAGUUUAUUUAGUAGAAAACUAUAUUUUCGUUUAGAAAUCGCUUCAGAGAAAAAUUGUAAUGAAAAAAAGACCAAAAAUAUUUUUUAAUACUAAAAUUUUUGGAAAUAGUUUUUUUUUGCAGAUCUUUACAAAAUAUGAAUUUCCUGGAAGUAAUGCUCUUCUAAUCGUUUAUAAUCUCUUGUUAUUCACUUGUAUGUAAAACAAUGCUUAUGUAUACAUAAAAAAGAAUAAAUAAAAUAAAAAUUAAAAAUA